RNAcentral lists this long non-coding RNA (802 nucleotides) under Marmota monax (woodchuck). The record is from RNAcentral. Lineage: Eukaryota; Metazoa; Chordata; Mammalia; Rodentia; Sciuridae.
GGCAUUCAGAGUAGGUGGGCACAGGGAUCACAGGGCUGUGGUUAGGUCUCCGUUGGGCCUGCCUGGUUAUGUUUCAGAGGUGGUGAAUGAAGGUGACAGACACAGUCCUCCUUGCCCAGAAGGACUGAACUUGGGGAAGUUGGUGAGUGGUGUCUUCUAAGGAAGAACAUUGAUGAAAUCUGCAUUCAGGCAUGGUUAGAAAGCAUAUUAGGAUCUCUGAGUUGCUUCUCCAGGGGGUGGUGGGAGCUGGUGUCCAGUGACCUUGGUGCCUGGCAGCUGGAGUUUCUUCCUGACUAUCUGCCCCUGGCCAGUCAGUGGUACCUGCAUUCUGCACACAGUGGCUCCUUAUCACCUUGAUUUUCCACUUAAUAAGGAAAAAUGUGCAUCAGAAUAGGCAGAUCAUCAACCUGACCCGCAUCUGAGUGUGAGGAGAAUGUGCCCCACCUGCUGCAGAGACAGUUGGCCAGAACUUGGGCUUUUUAAAUUAAAACUGCAGUAACUGCAUUUAUAAAGAGAGGAGUAGCAAUCUUGUCAACAGAUCCUGUCACCUGUCUGACUUGCUUAUGUGGUUGUUAACCGAGAUGACCAUGAGGACUAGACACAUGACAAAAUGAGUAGGGGAGGACUGGAAUAAUCCAUCAGGAGAGGUAGGGACAGGGACAGAAUGGGGUCUUGCAUCAGUGGGCUCCAGGCGAUUGCUGAUGUGUUGGGAUCUGGAGCUGGGUUCAGCAUGGCUUCCGGUUAUUCAAGAUAAGUUAGAAAAUGGUUGACUGAAGCUGAGAAAAUGCUAGCUUUCUAGGCU